UGGGGAAUCUUCCGCAAUGGGCGAAAGCCUGACGGAGCAACGCCGCGUGAGUGAUGAAGGUCUUCGGACUGUAAAACUCUGUUGUCAGGGACGAAGGUGCGCUUUGCGAACAGUUAAGCGUAUUGACGGUACCUGACGAGGAAGCCACGGCUAACUACGUGCCAGCAGCCGCGGUAAUACGUAGGUGGCAAGCGUUGUCCGGAAUUAUUGGGCGUAAAGAGCAUGUAGGCGGACUUUUAAGUCUGGCGUGAAAAUGCGGGGCUCAACCCCGUAUGGCGUUGGAUACUGGAAGCCUUGAGUGCAGGAGAGGAAAGGGGAAUUCCCAGUGUAGCGGUGAAAUGCGUAGAUAUUGGGAGGAACACCAGUGGCGAAGGCGCCUUUCUGGACUGUGUCUGACGCU
Molecule: ribosomal RNA, 400 nt
Filed under: uncultured bacterium
Lineage: Bacteria
Description: bacterial SSU rRNA
Rfam family: Bacterial small subunit ribosomal RNA
Source: RNAcentral